This 1369-nucleotide ribosomal RNA is filed under the name uncultured bacterium. Its description in RNAcentral is "partial 16S ribosomal RNA". It matches the Rfam family "Bacterial small subunit ribosomal RNA". The record is from RNAcentral.
AGGGUUUGAUCAUGGCUCAGAACGUACGCUGGCGGCACGCCUAACACAUGCAAGUCGAACGAAGUAGCAAUACUUAGUGGCAGACGGGUGAGUAACAUGUGGGUAUCUGCCCUUUGGCCUGGAAUAACACGAGGAAACUUGUGCUAAUACCGGAUAAGUCUUUACGGAGAAAGCUUUAUGCACCAUUGGAUGAGCCCGCACUUGAUUAGUUUGUUGGUGGGGUAAUGGCCUACCAAGACUGUGAUCAAUAGCUGAUUUGAGAGGAUGAUCAGCCACAUUGGGACUGAGACACGGCCCAAACUCCUACGGGAGGCAGCAGUGGGGAAUCUUGCACAAUGGAGGAAACUCUGAUGCAGCGAUGCCGCGUGAGUGAAGAAGGCCCUUGGGUUGUAAAGCUCUUUCGUCGGGGAAGAAAAUGACUGUACCCGAAUAAGAAGGUCCGGCUAACUUCGUGCCAGCAGCCGCGGUAAUACGAAGGGACCUAGCGUAGUUCGGAAUUACUGGGCUUAAAGAGUUCGUAGGUGGUUGAAAAAGUUAGUGGUGAAAUCCCAGAGCUUAACUCUGGAACUGCCAUUAAAACUUUUCAGCUAGAGUAUGAUAGAGGAAAGCAGAAUUUCUAGUGUAGAGGUGAAAUUCGUAGAUAUUAGAAAGAAUACCAAUUGCGAAGGCAGCUUUCUGGAUCAUUACUGACACUGAGGAACGAAAGCAUGGGUAGCGAAGAGGAUUAGAUACCCUCGUAGUCCAUGCCGUAAACGAUGUGUGUUAGACGUUGGAAAUUUAUUUUCAGUGUCGCAGCGAAAGCGAUAAACACACCGCCUGGGGAGUACGACCGCAAGGUUAAAACUCAAAUGAAUUGACGGGGACCCGCACAAGUAGUGGAGCAUGUGGUUUAAUUCGACGCAACGCGAAGAACCUUACCAAGGCUUGACAUAUACAGGAAUAUGGCAGAGAUGUCAUAGCCGCAAGGUCUGUAUACAGGUGGUGCAUGGUUGUCGUCAGCUCGUGUCGUGAGAUGUUGGGUUAAGUCCCGCAACGAGCGCAACCCUCGUUCUGUGUUGCCAGCAUUUAGUUGGGGACUCACAGGAGACUGCCGGGGUUAACUCGGAGGAAGGUGGGGAUGACGUCAAAUCAUCAUGCCCCUUAUGUCUUGGGCUGCACGCAUGCUACAAUGGCUGGUACAAACGGCUGCAAUACCGCAAGGUGGAGCGAAUCCGAGAAAGCCAGUCUCAGUUCGGAUUGGGGUCUGCAACUCGACCCCAUGAAGUCGGAGUUGCUAGUAAUCGUAGAUCAGCAACGCUACGGUGAAUACGUUCCCGGGGCUUGUACACACCGCCCGUCACGUCACGAAAGUCGGUAACACCCGAAGUCA